Molecule: ribosomal RNA, 494 nt
Filed under: uncultured bacterium
Lineage: Bacteria
Description: partial 16S ribosomal RNA
Rfam family: Bacterial small subunit ribosomal RNA
Source: RNAcentral
GACGAACGCUGGCGGCGUGCUUAACACAUGCAAGUCGAACGGAAAGGCCUGCUUUCCCUUGUGGAUUGCGGGUACUCGAGUGGCGAACGGGUGAGUAACACGUGAGUGAUCUGCCCCCAACUUGGGUAUAAGCCUGGGAAACUGGGUCUAAUUCCCGAUAGGACUGCAGGGUGGUGCCUGUGGUGGAAAACGAUUUUCUAGUGGUUGGGGAUGAGCUCGCGGCCUAUCAGCUUGUUGGUGGGGUAAUGGCCUACCAAGGCGGCGACGGGUAGCCGGCCUGAGAGGGUGGACGGCCACAUUGGGACUGAGAUACGGCCCAGACGCCUACGGGAGGCAGCAGUGGGGAAUAUUGCACAAUGGGCGGAAGCCUGAUGCAGCGACGCCGCGUGGGGGAUGACGGCCUUCGGGUCGUAAACUCCUUUCGACCGCGAGGAAGCCACCUGGUUGGAAGGGUGGUGACGGUAGUGGUAGAAGAAGCACCGGCUAACUACGUG